This 492-nucleotide ribosomal RNA is filed under the name uncultured bacterium. Its description in RNAcentral is "partial 16S ribosomal RNA". It matches the Rfam family "Bacterial small subunit ribosomal RNA", at positions 29 to 507 of the family's 1533-position model. The record is from RNAcentral.
AGUGAACGCUGGCGGUAGGCCUAACACAUGCAAGUCGAACGGCAGCACAGUAAGAGUUUGCUCUUACGGGUGGCGAGUGGCGGACGGGUGAGGAAUACAUCGGAAUCUACUUUUUCGUGGGGGAUAACGGAGGGAAACUGACGCUAAUACCGCAUACGACCUACGGGUGAAAGCAGGGGUUCUUCGGACCUUGCGCGACUGAAUGAGCCGAUGUCGGAUUAGCUAGUUGGCGGGGUAAAGGCCCACCAAGGCGACGCUCCGUAGCUGGCCUGAGAGGAUGAUCAGCCACACUGGAACUGAGACACGGUCCAGACUCCUACGGGAGGCAGCAGUGGGGAAUAUUGGACAAUGGGCGCAAGCCUGAUCCAGCCAUGCCGCGUGGGUGAAGAAGGCCUUCGGGUUGUAAAGCCCUUUUGUUGGGAAAGAAAAGCAGCAGGUUAAUCCCCCGCUGUUCUGACGGUACCCAAAGAAUAAGCACCGGCUAACUUCGUG